AUGAACGCUGGCGGCGUGCCUAAUCCAUGCCAGUCGAGCGGACAGAUGAGGAGCUUGCUCCUCUGACGUUAGCGGCGGACGGGUGAGUAACACGUGGAUAACCUACCUAUAAGACUGGGAUAACUUCGGGAAACCGGAGCUAAUACCGGAUAAUAUAUUGAACCGCAUGGUUCAAUAGUGAAAGACGGUUUUGCUGUCACUUAUAGAUGGAUCCGCGCCGCAUUAGCUAGUUGGUAAGGUAACGGCUUACCAAGGCAACGAUGCGUAGCCGACCUGAGAGGGUGAUCGGCCACACUGGAACUGAGACACGGUCCAGACUCCUACGGGAGGCAGCAGUAGGGAAUCUUCCGCAAUGGGCGAAAGCCUGACGGAGCAACGCCGCGUGAGUGAUGAAGGUCUUCGGAUCGUAAAACUCUGUUAUUGGGGAAGAACAAAUGUGUAAGUAACUAUGCACGUCUUGACGGUACCUAAUCAGAAAGCCACGGCUAACUACGUG
This 496-nucleotide ribosomal RNA is filed under the name uncultured bacterium. Its description in RNAcentral is "partial 16S ribosomal RNA". It matches the Rfam family "Bacterial small subunit ribosomal RNA", at positions 29 to 507 of the family's 1533-position model. The record is from RNAcentral.